Molecule: ribosomal RNA, 467 nt
Filed under: uncultured bacterium
Lineage: Bacteria
Description: partial 16S ribosomal RNA
Rfam family: Bacterial small subunit ribosomal RNA
Source: RNAcentral
GACGAACGCUGGCGGCGUGCUUAACACAUGCAAGUCGAACGGAAAGGCCCUGCUUUUGUGGGGUGCUCGAGUGGCGAACGGGUGAGUAACACGUGAGUAACCUGCCCUUGACUUUGGGAUAACUUCAGGAAACUGGGGCUAAUACCGGAUAGGAGCUCCUGCUGCAUGGUGGGGGUUGGAAAGUUUCGGCGGUUGGGGAUGGACUCGCGGCUUAUCAGCUUGUUGGUGGGGUAGUGGCUUACCAAGGCUUUGACGGGUAGCCGGCCUGAGAGGGUGACCGGCCACAUUGGGACUGAGAUACGGCCCAGACUCCUACGGGAGGCAGCAGUGGGGAAUAUUGCACAAUGGGCGGAAGCCUGAGGCAGCAACGCCGCGUGCGGGAUGACGGCCUUCGGGUUGUAAACCGCUUUCGCCUGUGACGAAGCGUGAGUGACGGGAAUGGGGAAAGAAGCACCGGCUAACUACGU